This 206-nucleotide ribosomal RNA is filed under the name uncultured bacterium. RNAcentral describes it as "partial 16S ribosomal RNA". It matches the Rfam family "Bacterial small subunit ribosomal RNA", at positions 568 to 774 of the family's 1533-position model. The record is from RNAcentral.
UACGUAGGCGGUUUGAUAAGUCAGGUGUAAAAGGCAAUGGCUCAACCAUUGUAAGCACUUGAAACUGUCAAACUUGAGUACAGGAGAGGUAAGUGGAAUUCCUAGUGUAGCGGUGAAAUGCGUAGAUAUUAGGAGGAACACCAGUGGCGAAGGCGACUUACUGGACUGUAACUGACGCUGGGGUACGAAAGCGUGGGGAGCGAACA